CGAGUACGAGAUGCUACGGCGUUGAAGCAGUGUAUGUCAGACUUCCAAGAAAAGCUUGCACUGUCAGAAACAGAUAAUGCCUGUACCAUAACCGACACAGGUGGGUAGGUAGAGUAUACUAAGGGGCGCGAGAUAACUCUCUCUAAGGAACUCGGCAAAAUGACUCCGUAACUUCGGGAGAAGGAGUGCCUUAUUUUUAAGGUUGCAAUAACAAGAUCCAAGCAACUGUUUACCAAAAACACAGGUCUCCGCUAAGUCGUAAGACGAUGUAUGGGGGCUGACGCCUGCCCAGUGCCAGAAGGUUAAAGAAGUCGGUUAGCAUUCGCGAAGCUGGUAACUGAAGCCCUGGUGAACGGCGGCCGUAACUAUAACGGUCCUAAGGUAGCGAAAUUCCUUGUCGGGUAAGUUCCGACCCGCACGAAAGGCGUAAUGAUUUGGAUACUGUCUCGGAGAGGGGCUCGGUGAAAUAGACUUGUCUGUGAAGAUGCGGACUACCUGCACCUGGACAGAAAGACCCUAUGAAGCUUUACUGUAACUUGAAAUUGAAAUUGGACUUUAUUUGCGCAGUAUAGGUGGGAGGCGUUGAAAAUAUUCUUGCAGGAAUAUUGGAGCCAUCAGUGAGAUACCACUCUUGUAAUGUUAGAUUUCUAACUUUAUAUCAUUAUCUGGUUAAAGAACAGUUUCAGGCGGGCAGUUUGACUGGGGCGGUCGCCUCCCAAAUGGUAACGGAGGCGCACAAAGGUUUCCUCUGAACGGGUAGAAAUCGUAUCUAGAGUGUAAAGGCAUAAGGAAGCUUGACUGUGAGACCUACAAGUCGAGCAGGGACGAAAGUCGGUCUUAGUGAUCUGACGGUGCUGAGUGGAAAGGCCGUCACUCAACGGAUAAAAGUUACUCUAGGAUAACAGGCUGAUCUCCCCCAAGAGUUCACAUCGACGGGGAGGUUUGGCACCUCGAUGUCGGCUCAUCGCAUCCUGGGGCGGUUGUACGUCCCAAGGGUUGGGCUGUUCGCCCAUGAAAGCGGUACGCGAGCUGGGUUCAGAACGUCGUGAGACAGUUCGGUCCAUAUCCGGUGUAGGCGUUGGAAUAUUGAGAGGAGCCUUCUUUAGUACGAGAGGACCGAGAAGGACAUACCUCUGGUGUACCAGUUAUCGUGCCAACGGUAAACGCUGGGUAGCUAUGUAUGGAGUGGAUAACCGCUGAAAGCAUCUAAGUGGGAAGCCCACCUCAAGAUAAGUAUUCUCA
RNAcentral lists this ribosomal RNA (1242 nucleotides) under metagenome. RNAcentral describes it as "bacterial LSU rRNA". It matches the Rfam family "Bacterial large subunit ribosomal RNA", at positions 1564 to 2816 of the family's 2925-position model. The record is from RNAcentral.